GGUAGGGGGCGGGCUCCGGCGCUGGGACCCCACUAGGGUGGCGCCUUGGCCCCGCCCCGCCC
Homo sapiens (human) is the source of this 62-nucleotide microRNA precursor. Ensembl annotates it as microRNA 4488. Lineage: Eukaryota; Metazoa; Chordata; Mammalia; Primates; Hominidae. The record is from Ensembl.